GUCUACGGUGAUACCACCCUGAAUGCGCCUGAUCUCGUCUGAUCUCAGAAGAUAAGCAGGGUCGGGCCUGGUUAAUACUUGAAUGGGAGACCACCUGGGAAUACCAGGAGCUGUAGGAU
Molecule: ribosomal RNA, 119 nt
Filed under: Macaca nemestrina (pig-tailed macaque)
Lineage: Eukaryota; Metazoa; Chordata; Mammalia; Primates; Cercopithecidae
Source: RNAcentral